ACCUGUUUAAAGGGACACUGCGCUAUUUCAUGGGCGAGGGCGAAAACAGCUAAAGCGCAGAAAAGCAGAUAAAUGCAAAAUAGCCAGCAAGCAACCGAGCUAGCAAGCUAUGUGGUCAGAGAGGAGAGGAGAGACGACAAGACGAGACGGACAAAUUCCAUGAUCAACGAUGCAAUCAACUUCUCUUCGAAGAUAGCUAACGUUGGUUUUGAUGGCAAUCCGAUUGAUCUUUAAAUGUGAAAAGAGACACUUCAUGUGAAAUCGGACAGGGCUGUCCUGAAGCAAAGGUAAAAAGCAAAAAGUUAAACUCCGCUCCUGAGAUGGAGGAAAUGUCUCGUUAAUUAACCCUUUACGUGUGAAGCCUGUCGCCCCCUUCAUGUAGCUUGGUAGUUACUGCUCUGGUUGAGGAGGCCAAGAGAGGAAGAAAGAGCAAAAGAAAGCGAAGAGAGAGGGAGAGAUAUAACGAAGGCAAGCUGACCGGCUAGACUCUCUGAAAGGCAGAGAGACACCAGUCACCAGAGGUGCUCGCCCCAAAAACAAAAAGGAGAAGUGGAAAAACAAAGGCAGAGGAAAAGAAAGAGAAGCCUUGGCUGUGUCUCUGUGAGGGGUUUCUCUGUGGAAUGCCCGUGUCAUGAUGCCGUCGCUGAGACUCACCCUGCGUCCAGGUGACCAGGGAGGGCGUGUCGAGUCGUCAGCCAAUCACAGCAGGUGCUUUAGGAGAGUCAGUUCCUGUUUAUGUUCAUCAGUACUUCCUCUCAGAACCCUCCCGCCUCACUGAUGUCCUGCCCCCUCGGCGGUAGGUAGGUAGUUCCUGUAUCCAUCUCUUCCAUCACUUCCUCUUCCUCCUUACUGUCUGGCUGUGUGGGGAUGCUGGUGCUAGCUGGCACUGUUCGUAACUAUGGUGAUAGUCAGGUAACCGUGGCAAGAGGAGUCUGUGGGCACAGCUUCCUGAUGUUGUGCCAGGUGCUGAGGGGACAGGAGGGCACCAUCGAACGAACGGGCACAGAGGUGCUGUGCAACUCUGCUUCCUAGUUUACACUGAUGACAUCACAACAGGAAGCAUAGGACCUAUCUUACUGUAGAACGUCAAUCUCCGCCUCCUUGCACUUUCUAGAACUUCCUGUUGCUGCUACUUGACUUCCUGUUGCACAAAGUCUCUCAGACACUCUUAAGACCUCUAACCUCUGAACCCAAGCAGCCAUGAGGCACAUUCACGUAGAACUGACACGCGGCAGCAAGGAGGAGAUGGCUCCUGUGGAGCUUCCAUCCCAGGAUGGGGACCUGCCUCCUCCCACGGCCCCCUCACAGGUCCCCGACCUUGGGGUGAUGAGACCGGGGUUGGUGGUUCCCAAGCCCUUUGGUCAUGAGCAGCUGCGUCUCCAGAAGGUCUAUCAGCUCUCCAUCUUCUCCCAGCUGGGGGGGUUCUCAGCCUCCGAGCUCCCCAGAACCAGUGAGGCCCAGCCGGGGCAAGUCCAGCCGGGUCAGGUCCAGCGGACUGACAGGGUGGGGGUCAAGAGAGGACAGGGUGGGGUUCAAGAGGAUUCCCAUCUAACACACAAAUGGCCCCACCUGGCUGGGGACCUCGACAGGGAAAGGGAUGGAGGGGUGCUGUCAGGGUCAGGACCUGGGGUAGGGGUGGAUGUCGGA
Non-coding RNA from Oncorhynchus mykiss (rainbow trout), 1647 nucleotides. The record is from RefSeq and is a predicted model, not a curated record. NCBI's taxonomy places the organism in Eukaryota, Metazoa, Chordata, Actinopteri, Salmoniformes, Salmonidae.